AGUAACGCGUGAGGAACCUGCCUCAAAGAGGGGGACAACAGUUGGAAACGACUGCUAAUACCGCAUAAGCCCACGGCUCGGCAUCGAGCAGAGGGAAAAGGAACAAUCCGCUUUGAGAUGGCCUCGCGUCCGAUUAGCUAGUUGGUGAGGUAACGGCCCACCAAGGCGAUGAUCAGUAGCCGGUCUGAGAGGAUGAACGGCCACAUUGGGACUGAGACACGGCCCAG
Molecule: ribosomal RNA, 227 nt
Filed under: uncultured bacterium
Lineage: Bacteria
Description: partial 16S ribosomal RNA
Rfam family: Bacterial small subunit ribosomal RNA
Source: RNAcentral